UUUUUGCUAGGUUUAAAUAAAAGAAGGCACUCAGUCCUCUCUCGACACGAACGAAAUCUCAGUCCUCUCUCACACUCCUCUGCCUUUCUUCCCCGAUACACCUACCCAAAUCCCCAUAUCUCCUCCUCCUUGCUCUCAAAUCCUCAAAUCUCCUCCUCCUCGCCUUCAAACUAUGGUCAAUUGAAAAGAUGCAGAAGACUAAUAGACUCUUCAAGCUCCCUGUCACGAAACCCUAACAGACUAACAUCUCCAUGGCCGCCAACUGCGCUGCCGUAUCUUCUCCACCUCAGCGAAAAAGGACCAUGUCCGCUCUCGAAGCCCGAAUCUCCCGCCGCUCUCGCCACCCAAGCCUCCUCCGUCUCCCAGCAACAUAAAUUUUCAAAUCCCUUUCCCACAAUCUGAAAUUUUCCUUGAUUUUCAGGUUUAAUUGGUUCUGAUUUGGUUUUAACAUUUGGUGCUUUCCACCUCUGGUGGAUUCUCUGUUUCCGAAGAGACAUGCCGAGGAGUGCUUUCCACCUCUGAUGUUCUUGCAGGAGAUGUUUCAUUAACCACCAGUACAGGAACUCACUACAAAGGACUUGCAUGGAGUUGAAUGGCACUUUCGUCAUAUAUACCGUGGUCAUCCAAAGAGGCACUUGCUUACUAGUGGUUGGAGUACAUUUGUGACUGCCAAGAAACUUGUUCUUGGGGAUGCAUGUAUCUUUGUCAGAGGAGAAAAUGGAGAGCUCCGUGUUGGCAUACGCCGUGCGACCAAAAGACAAGCCAAUGCAACAGCUUCUCUCAUUUCUGGCAAUAGCAUGCAGCAUGGCAUCCUUGCGAGUGCUUUCCAUGCCAUUUCUACUGGAACCAUGUUUACCGUGUAUUAUCGCCCUUGGACCAGUCCUGAGCCAUUUCCAAGGUUUGAGAAUUGUAAAAAAGAAAAGGUAGAGACCCUUUAUGAGCGAGAGGUCGAGGCCUCCAUGGCAGCCACCUACUAUUGACCUAUUUCCAGAUUUGGGUCUUGGGAGCUCUUUGAUGUUGCUGCUGUAAGUUUAUCUCCAUUUAAGGUAUAUGUUUCUUUUGUUAAUAUCAGCCCUCUGCUCUGUGGUUUGAUAUGCCAGUGAUUUGUGUUCCAAGUGAGCAUGUUCAUGUGUUGCAGGUGCAUUUAUAUUUCUUGUUACUCCUUGUGGUCUUAUAAUAAUGGUCAAGUUUCCAAGUAGCAUAGGUAGAAACACAGACACCAUAUAACCAAUUCAGAACUCUCUCACGUACACAGAGAUGCUCUAUCAUAUAUGUUUUGAAUCACUAUAAAAAGUUGAUUGCUAAAUGUUGCUGCAUGGUGAUGAUCUGUUGGCAAAUAAUUUUGCUUCUUGUUGGUUCUGAUCUGAUCACACUGUCCCUAGUUGGAUGAGGGGCAAAUUCAUCAUGUAAAAUAUAAUAUUGAUUGUUUUCCUCUUUCUUGAUGAAGGCCUUGGUGCCUAACAACUACCACUUGAGUUUUUCAGAAAGCACAAAUCUUCCUUCCCCAGUUCUGCUACCAAUGUACGAUUCUCUUAGCACAAAUAUAAAUUGUAUUUUCUCUAUGACGGUAAGAUGAAACACAUGUUAUUGCUUUCAUUUCACUUAUUGAAGAUGGGAAGGGGUAGUUAACCAAUUCAAUCUAGCGUCUUGUGUUUAUGUUCCAUUCGUGUAACAUUUCUCUGUCACUGCAUUUGCUUUGACUCUAGUGAUAUUUCGUUGUUGGAGUAUGAGUCUCCGUCUGGGUUAGGGCCCGCCUUUAAUAAUAUCCAGUUGUAACUCUUUAAAAUGUUCUGAUGAAUACAAUUCUUCUUCUUCUUGGCCUAACUCUUAAAGUUGAGUAAUUUGUAACGGGCCCAUGUGCCGAUUUGGUUGAAUUGUGUCAAAUAUCAAAUAUGGUUCUCAUCUUCUCUCAGCCUCAAGAUCCUUAUUUCAUAGUUGAGAUCAUUGUCUCAUGUUUCUAAUUAUUUGACCAAGUAUUAUUCCCUUGUUAGUGCUUAAAGUCAUAACAUGCUACUUAUGCUUGCAAGGAUAAUAAGGUGUUGCCAUAAAGCUUAUAAUUAUACAGCUAUGUAUUUUUUUUUCUAUUUAGAAUUGCAGAUUUCACAAAACUAUCCUAAGCUAGGAUUGCAGAUCAUUGUUAAGGUUGGCUCUGUUCUAUCCUAAGCUAAAUGUCAUUUUUGUUGUCCUUAAGAGAAAGAACAUGUCCAUUUUGUAUCUAGAGUCUUGAGUCAUGUACUCAUGUGCUAAUGGUGAAAAUCAAUGUAUUUAUAUUGUGAUUUCUGGACUUUCCUGGUUUUGGUUUCACUUGCAUUUUCUGUUCUUUGCUGUUAAUUUCCUACAUUUUCGUUUUCUUGUUUCACUGCUCUUUCUUCACAUUCCCAUGCAGCUUUGUAUUAUCUUUCUUCUGCAACCAUUAAAUGAUGUUGUGCCUGAUGCAGACAUUGUCAAAUUUCAUCAAAUCACUAAACAAGUUUGCAUUUGCAGGCCAAUUGGGGGAGUGAGACAUUCCAAGUUUUGUUGAAGCCAAAGACAGUUGAAGGCUAAGAGCUAUCGAGAAUAGGAAUGUUUUUCAUUCUUGUGUAGCUAACUAGGAAUUUUCUUGUUUAGUGCAUCAUCUAGUUACUUGAAUGUAUGAAUGCUUGAAUAAUGGUACUUGAAUGAAAUGGAUUAGAGUAUUAUUUAUUUGGUAAUAUAU
This 2695-nucleotide long non-coding RNA is filed under the name Rosa chinensis. RNAcentral's name for it is "sRNA RchiOBHm_Chr4g0426151". Lineage: Eukaryota; Viridiplantae; Streptophyta; Magnoliopsida; Rosales; Rosaceae. The record is from RNAcentral.